Molecule: long non-coding RNA, 986 nt
Organism: Carassius carassius (crucian carp)
Lineage: Eukaryota; Metazoa; Chordata; Actinopteri; Cypriniformes; Cyprinidae
Exons: 3
Source: RefSeq, a predicted model, not a curated record
CCCGGUUUGUGACUGCUAAUGCUGUGUUCGAAUUCGGGAAUCGUUUAGGUUACUGACUCGAGAACAGCUCAGUCUACUCUAGUUGAAGUUAGUGAACCGGUUCAACGGAUUCAUCGAAAAGAUCCGACUCAAAAGAAUGAUUCGUUCAUUAAUCGGAAAUCGCGCACUUCAAGACAGUUUUGUUGAUGAUCUUGUGGUGGCUUCAUGCAGUUCUGCCUUGGCUUGAACGGAGCUUACUUUUCAUGAUUCCUCGGUCUGAAGUUGAUUUUUUAUCGCUUUGAUCGGCAUCUUUAACUAAAAGUAGUUUAUCCGCGACUCUGACACUCAAACAGGUGUCCGUUUCACAGUUAUGACUUUCAGCAUGACUAGCACACCUGGUAAGUUCUACACAUUGUCUUCUAAUAUAAAGAGCAAACCUCUUUUAGAGCAUUAGAGGUUUCCCAUUACAGGCACCUUAGAGGUGUGUCAUAUAUCAAACAAUGAAUCUAUACAUUAUAAUAGGCUAAUGUAACAAUCUUGGCACUAACACAAUUUAUUUAGCAUAUAAUAGCCUAUUUGUACACUCGUACCUGACCUCAUUUGGGUCUUGAAAUGUUUCAUUCGAGGCUGUACUUAAGCAUUAAAUAAAAUCUAUGCACAGUGAAUUCCUAACUUGGUGCCAUGUUGUAUUUCUGCUAAUCUGAUUACUCUUCAACAAAACAGUUCCUCCAGCUGGAAAUGGUUGUAAUUCCACAUUUCAGUGAAUGUAAUCUUGACAUUCGGGUUUAGUGCAUUUGUUUUUUUCCUCAGGUAUAAAUGUUACAUCAACAACUGCAGCUCCACCUCAGACAGACACGACUGUCAUUGGAGUGGUAAUUGCACUGAUCCUGGUGACCCUUGUUGUCUGUGGAUUCCUGCUGUACCGAUACCUGUGCCACAGUAAGGGUGUUUACCGAACUGCGGGUGAGCCCGCUCCAGGUGUGGACCCUGACCAGGUCUACAAUGAC